UACGUAGGGUGCAAGCGUUGUCCGGAAUUAUUGGGCGUAAAGAGCUCGUAGGCGGUCUGUCACGUCGGAUGUGAAAAUCCAGGGCUUAACCCUGGACCUGCAUUCGAUACGGGCAGACUAGAGUUCGGUAGGGGAGACUGGAAUUCCUGGUGUAGCGGUGAAAUGCGCAGAUAUCAGGAGGAACACCGGUGGCGAAGGCGGGUCUCUGGGCCGAUACUGACGCUGAGGAGCGAAAGCGUGGGGAGCGAACAGG
This 253-nucleotide ribosomal RNA is filed under the name uncultured bacterium. Its description in RNAcentral is "partial 16S ribosomal RNA". It matches the Rfam family "Bacterial small subunit ribosomal RNA", at positions 524 to 776 of the family's 1533-position model. The record is from RNAcentral.